Molecule: ribosomal RNA, 468 nt
Filed under: uncultured bacterium
Lineage: Bacteria
Description: partial 16S ribosomal RNA
Rfam family: Bacterial small subunit ribosomal RNA
Source: RNAcentral
GACGAACGCUGGCGGCGUGCUUAACACAUGCAAGUCGAACGGAAAGGCCCUGCUUUUGUGGGGUGCUCGAGUGGCGAACGGGUGAGUAACACGUGAGUAACCUGCCCUUGACUUUGGGAUAACUUCAGGAAACUGGGGCUAAUACCGGAUAGGAGCUCCUGCUGCAUGGUGGGGGUUGGAAAGUUUCGGCGGUUGGGGAUGGACUCGCGGCUUAUCAGCUUGUUGGUGGGGUAGUGGCUUACCAAGGCUUUGACGGGUAGCCGGCCUGAGAGGGUGACCGGCCACAUUGGGACUGAGAUACGGCCCAGACUCCUACGGGAGCCAGCAGUGGGGAAUAUUGCACAAUGGGCGGAAGCCUGAUGCAGCAACGCCGCGUGCGGGAUGACGGCCUUCGGGUUGUAAACCGCUUUCGCCUGUGACGAAGCGUGAGUGACGGUAAUGGGUAAAGAAGCACCGGCUAACUACGUG